UUGAAUACAAGCUAUAGUAGUUGUUUAAAUUCAAAUCAGAGUUAUUACGGUUAUAAAAACAUACAGCCGGGUCUGCUGGCAAAUAUGAAACGAUGCGGCAGCAGUCCCUGGGGAUUUAUUGAUGGAAUAAUGUGUUUUGGAGUAAAUAUUUUACUGGAUUGGAUCGUCUGGACCCUUGACAACGUAGCAAGACCGUUUUUUGUUGGAAUAUAAUCUAUCGGUGGAUUAUAUAAGGCUUCAUAGGUAAAAGGAGUCAAUCCCACCUGGCAUCGGGCGAGAGGCAGGGUACACCCUGGACAGGUCGCCAGUCCAUCGCAGGGCCAACACACCCAGUAACACACAUUCACGCCAAUUAUCCUAUGCGUGUCUUUGGAGGUCAGAGUACCUGGACAGAAACCAAGCUGACACAGGGAUAACAUGCAAACUCCACACAGAAAGGCGCUCAUUUGGAAUAAACCCUGAGAGAGGCACUGGGGCUGGACUAGGCACUAAGGGUCUUAUCAAAGAAAACUGGCAAAGUCACCAACAAAAAGAAAACAACAGUCUGUCCACAUGGAUCCACUCUGCUGAGGAGACUCAUGGAUUUUGAGUGGGACUUAAUUUAAGAUGUCAAUGGGCUACCAAAGCGGGACUGAGAGAACUGGUUUCUUCAUAUGUCAUGAGUACAGUUAGUUAAAAAUGCAAUUGUUCUUAAUUUACAGUUUCCAUCUUUAUAUUUAAAUAAAAAGUAAAGUGCAA
Molecule: long non-coding RNA, 738 nt
Organism: Micropterus dolomieu (smallmouth bass)
Lineage: Eukaryota; Metazoa; Chordata; Actinopteri; Centrarchiformes; Centrarchidae
Exons: 4
Source: RefSeq, a predicted model, not a curated record